RNAcentral lists this small RNA (347 nucleotides) under Arabidopsis thaliana (thale cress). Its description in RNAcentral is "ATSL204950". Lineage: Eukaryota; Viridiplantae; Streptophyta; Magnoliopsida; Brassicales; Brassicaceae. The record is from RNAcentral.
ACACAUAUACGAGAGUACCUCUCAAAUGGAUACAUCCAUCUAAAAUGAACCGGUCCACCCAACCGAGCCUCCCUAGCCAGAUGUAGUGGAAGAUGAAACAUGAUGUCAAAAAGCAAUGGAGGAAAGAACCUCUCCAGUUGACACAAUGUCUCUACAAGCUCAGACUCUAAGGUUAUCAGCUUUUCAACGUCAAUAACACGCUGAUACAAUCUGUUAAAGAAGUUGCAUAAUCUACUUACUGCAAACCUAGGUCUUUUUGGAAGCAAACCUCUCAAAACAACAUGUAGUAGAUUCUGAAGAAGCACUUGGUUGUUAGGAGACAAAAGGUUUAUAGAAUUAAAAAAAAA